This 633-nucleotide ribosomal RNA is filed under the name Pherbellia scutellaris. RNAcentral's name for it is "partial 12S ribosomal RNA". The stretch from base 414 to 485 matches the Rfam family "tRNA". Lineage: Eukaryota; Metazoa; Arthropoda; Insecta; Diptera; Sciomyzidae. The record is from RNAcentral.
UGGGUAGUAUUAGUUAUGUUCUUGAAACUUAAAAAAUUUGGCGGUAUUUUAGUCUAUUCAGAGGAACCUGUUCUAUAAUCGAUAAUCCACGAUGGACCUUACUUAAAUUUGUAUUCAGUUUAUAUACCGUCGUUAUCAGAAUAUUUUAUAAGAAUAAUAAUUUUCUAUAAUUUAAAUUAAAUUUUAUAUCAGAUCAAGGUGUAGCUUAUAUUUAAGUAGAAAUGGGUUACAAUAAAAUUAUUUAUAUGGAUAUAAAUAUGAAAAAUUUAUUGAAAGUGGAUUUGAUAGUAAAAUUAUAAAGAUUAAUAAUUUGACCUUAGCUCUAAAAUAUGCACACAUCGCCCGUCGCUCUUAUUAUUAAGAUAAGAUAAGUCGUAACAUAGUAGAUGUACCGGAAGGUGUAUCUAGAAUGACAAUUUAAAGCUUAUCUAGUAAAGUAUUUCAUUUACAUUGAAAAGAUUUUUGUGCAAAUCAAUAUAAAUUGAAUAAAAUUUAUUUAUUAAUAAUUUUUUUUUUGUAUAUAAAUUAUUAAAAAUAAUUAUAAAAUUAAUUGUUUUAGUAUUGUAUAAAGAAUAAAUAAUUUUAAUAAUAGUUAAUUAGUAUUGUAAAAGAAUAUUGAAAUAAAUUGAAAAA